GGGACCUUGGAGAAGAGACCCAUCCAGACAGUGACUUAGAAUCCAUGAGUGAAGGUAGAGCAAGGAACUGGCAAGGAGGUCCCCUAAGGACAGAGCUCCACUUCCCACCUUGCCAGCCACAAUAGUAUAGGUGCCCAAGCAACACCUCCUAAGUGGAACUGCAAAGUUUGCUUCCUGACCCUGGAGAUACACAAAGAAGGCGGUGUUAUGCUUUAUCAAAGGAUUCUUUCUUGGAUUUCCCAAAAUAGCCAGCUCCCCUUAUAUAAUCGAUAGGAUUAAAGUGACGUGAAAUCCUUUUCAAUCACCAUUUAGGGACAGUUACUGUGCAAUGAGAGCAAGCAACUUCAAAAUUUCUUUCGACCUGAAAACCUGAAGUCCUCUGAGGUUUGCAAAGGAUCCAACACUCCACAAGUAUCAGGGGCCUCUGCUUUCAGGAAUAUGAAGAAGAAAACACAAUGGCUGCCUUCGAGACAACAAUUAGAGCACUAUAAAUGACACAUUGACCAGAGAAUCAAGGGCUGCAUUUUUGGAUCAGACUCAGUGCAGGGGAAGAAACAGGAAAGGAUCUUACUGGAGCUGGUGUUUGGUGAAAAGCCAGGGCCGGAAUGGGUCUAGGGCAGACCCGACCACACCAUGUGCCUGGCAAAGAAGUGGCUGAAAACUGAGCUGGCAUCACAGAUCCUGGGAGAAUCCAGAUUUGUUCCUGAGAUUUCCUCGGGCUGGCAGGGAUCAGCAAACAACUCCACUCCCUCAGAAGGAGCAACUCAGCUGCUCUUCUAAGGAGCACAGGCCCCUCUCCAUCCUGUCCACUGCAACAGGGAGCUGCUGCCCACUCACCCACCUAUCAAUGCUUAGCCCAUCUCUUCAGGAAGCAGGAAGCCUGGCGGAGCCCUGGCAUGCCGUCAGGGCUGGUGGGUGACAUUCUGGGGCCCUCACAGCCAGGAGGAAUCGAAGCUGUGGCCACAGCCUCAUCAGAACGCUGUGACUCCUGUGCGAAGCUGAGGGGAGGUUGCUGGCAGUUGGGGCUGGGGAUAGAGUAGGCAAGCCUGGGCUCCCCUUCCCCUCGCUUAUCUGUCUUAUAAACCAACCGAGCCUAAAACACCACUUAAAUAAAGGAUUCUGAGACUAAAAAAACUAUUUCAAUCCCACGGCUCCAGCCCUCCUCCAAGAUGUCCCUAUGUAAUCACGCUGUCCUUCUCUGGAUGUCUGGCACUGUGUUCCAUUAGCACUUAAUUACAUUAUACAUAUAUAUAUACUUGGGGCUCAGGACACACCACCCUAAAAUAUGACUGUUUGAGACCAGAAUAUGCCACCCCAAAAUAUACUUUGGCAUAUUCUGAGUUAGUUAUUCCAAGAAACUGCAGACACAGAAGUAGCUCUGAAAAGCUGCCCUUUUAUAAAACAAAUUUCCUUUU
Long non-coding RNA from Rhinopithecus roxellana (golden snub-nosed monkey), 1415 nucleotides. RefSeq lists it as uncharacterized. The record is from RefSeq and is a predicted model, not a curated record. NCBI's taxonomy places the organism in Eukaryota, Metazoa, Chordata, Mammalia, Primates, Cercopithecidae. The transcript has 5 exons.